Sarcophilus harrisii (Tasmanian devil) is the source of this 744-nucleotide long non-coding RNA. RefSeq lists it as uncharacterized. The record is from RefSeq and is a predicted model, not a curated record. Lineage: Eukaryota; Metazoa; Chordata; Mammalia; Dasyuromorphia; Dasyuridae. The transcript is spliced from 3 exons.
UCUGGUCAGACCCUUUGCUCUUGCUCCUUCCAAAUUCUGGAAUCAGAACUUAGAGUGACCAUGAAAAUACCUCAUUAGUAAUUGCAGGACCUUCUCACUCCCCAGUGUGAGCACUGGGGCCCAACCUCUACAUCAGGUAAUAAGCACAGUUUACUUCAACUCUACCCCACUCAGGAAAAGGCAAGUAGAAAUAACAGCUAUUACACCAGUCAGACCUGAGCCUCACCUGUUCCACAAAUGCAGUUUUCAGCAUGGCUGGGAUGUGGGUUCAGUUACCUCAUAGCCAGAGUCCAAGAGCUUUUGAAUGAGGGCCCGGGCCUGCCCGAUGCUCCAGCCCUUCACCUGGGCCAGGGUGGGCAGGGCAGCCACCAGGUCCUGGCCACUGAUUUUCCCCUCAAUCUGUGACACUGACAGCCCCACAGCUGUUUGACCCAGUCUGCGCAGGAUGACCUCUGAAAAGUUCCCAAAGCUACUCAGCAGCCCAGAUGCCAUCUGUAAGAGAGUCAAGUCUUAACUAAGGCACAGGACUGAGGCCUUGAAUCUUGAUAUCCCCAACAGACACACCUGGGGCAGGUAAAUAUCUGAAAAUCACCAAAUAAAUAAGUCAUGUAUGCAGAGCUGUCUCAAUUAAUUAAGAAAAUAGUGGAAUAAUCCAAAACCACUGGGCUCCUUUCUGAAUACAGGCCUGAAGAUGAUAAUACCAUCAGCACGACCAUAGCCAACAAUAAUUGACAUUUAUCUAGA